RNAcentral lists this ribosomal RNA (1218 nucleotides) under human gut metagenome. RNAcentral's name for it is "bacterial LSU rRNA". It matches the Rfam family "Bacterial large subunit ribosomal RNA", at positions 1148 to 2398 of the family's 2925-position model. The record is from RNAcentral.
GUCGAGAGGUCCUGCGCCGAAAAUGUCCGGGGCUAAAACACGACACCGAAGCUGUGGAUCCGAAAGGAUGGUAGAGGAGCAUUCUUAAGUCGACGAAGCUGUACUGUAAGGAGCAGUGGAGAGUUAAGAAGAGAGAAUGCCGGAAUGAGUAGCGAGAUUUAAGUGAGAAUCUUAAAGGCCGAAUAUCUAAGGUUUCCAGGGUAAAGCUGAUCUUCCCUGGGUAAGUCGGGGCCUAAGGCGAGGACGAAAGUCGUAGUCGAUGGAUAACAGGUUGAAAUUCCUGUACUGCUUAUGAACAGAACUGUGGGGACGCAGAAGGAGAGCACGAGCCGGAAAUGGAAAAGCCGGUACAAGCGUAUAGCAGUCACAUAGGAAAAUCCGUGUGAGAAAUGUAAAGCGUGAUGUGGAUCGAACAUUAGUAGAGAAGCGUGUGAGCCAGCUGCCAAGAAAAGCCGCUAUUGUUUCAUAAGUACCCGUACCGUAAACCGACACAGGUGGAUGAGGAGAGAAUCCUAAGGCCGGCGGGAGAAGCAUUGUUAAGGAACUCGGCAAAAUGACCCCGUAACUUCGGGAGAAGGGGUGCUCCAGAGAUGGAGCCGCAGAGAACUGGCCCAAGCAACUGUUUAGCAAAAACACAGGUCUAUGCAAAACCGAAAGGUGAGGUAUAUGGGCUGACGCCUGCCCGGUGCUGGAAGGUUAAGAGGAGAGGUUAGAGCAAUCGAAGCUUUGAAUUUAAGCCCCAGUAAACGGCGGCCGUAACUAUAACGGUCCUAAGGUAGCGAAAUUCCUUGUCGGGUAAGUUCCGACCCGCACGAAAGGCGUAAUGAUUUGGGCACUGUCUCAACAACACACCCGGUGAAAUUGAAAUACCAGUGAAGAUGCUGGUUACCUGCGCCAGGACGGAAAGACCCCAUGGAGCUUUACUCCAGUUUGAUACUGGGAUUCGGUACUGUCUGUACAGGAUAGGUGGGAGGCUAGGAAAUGGUGACGCCAGUUGCCAUGGAGCCAACCUUGGGAUACCACCCUUACAGUACUGGGUUUCUAACCUGCAGCCGUGACCCGGCUGGGGGACAAUGUCUGACGGGGAGUUUGACUGGGGCGGUCGCCUCCGAAAGAGUAUCGGAGGCGCUCAAAGGUUCCCUCAGAAUGGUUGGAAACCAUUCGAAGAGUGCAAAGGCAGAAGGGAGCUUGACUGCGACACCGACGGGUGGAGCAGGU